RNAcentral lists this ribosomal RNA (254 nucleotides) under uncultured bacterium. Its description in RNAcentral is "partial 16S ribosomal RNA". It matches the Rfam family "Bacterial small subunit ribosomal RNA", at positions 524 to 776 of the family's 1533-position model. The record is from RNAcentral.
UACGUAGGGUGCUAGCGUUAAUCGGAAUUACUGGGCGUAAAGCGUGCGCAGGCGGUCUGUUAAGACCGAUGUGAAAUCCCCGGGCUUAACCUGGGAACUGCAUUGGUGACUGGCAGGCUUUGAGUGUGGCAGAGGGAGGUAGAAUUCCACGUGUAGCAGUGAAAUGCGUAGAGAUGUGGAGGAAUACCGAUGGCGAAGGCAGCCUCCUGGGCCAACACUGACGCUCAGGCACGAAAGCGUGGGGAGCAAACAGG